Caenorhabditis elegans is the source of this 149-nucleotide non-coding RNA. The record is from Ensembl. Lineage: Eukaryota; Metazoa; Nematoda; Chromadorea; Rhabditida; Rhabditidae.
AAUAAAGGUGGAUAGAUUAUAAGGUUUGUUGAACCUACACCACACCCCGACGAACCCAUAAACCGCGCCGUCGGCAAAAGCUCGACGAGCGCCGCCUCCUCCUGACUGGUUCCGCCAAAUUUGACUUGACGUUGUAAAAUGGGUUUUUU